GACCUGGCCGGGCGGUCUGCCUCACGGUAUGUACUGUCUGGCUGGGCCUUACCUCUUGGUGAGCUGGCAUGCCCUUCACUGGGUGUGUCAGUGAACCAGGACUUUUACUUUGAAAAAAUUAGAGUGUUCAAAGCAGGCAUUUUCGCUUGAAUACAUUAGCAUGGAAUAAUGGAAUAGGAC
This 180-nucleotide ribosomal RNA is filed under the name uncultured Glomeromycotina. Its description in RNAcentral is "partial small subunit ribosomal RNA". The stretch from base 88 to 180 matches the Rfam family "Eukaryotic small subunit ribosomal RNA", at positions 735 to 828 of the family's 1831-position model. Lineage: Eukaryota; Fungi; Glomeromycota. The record is from RNAcentral.